ACGGCUCAGUAACACGUGGAUAACCUGCCCAAGGGUUCGGGAUAACCCCGGGAAACUGGGGAUAAUACCGGAUGGAUCACUAGUGCUGGAAUGCUUGGUGGUUUAAAGGUAACGCCUUUGGAUGGGUCUGCGGCGGAUUAGGUUGACGCCGGUGUAACGUACCGGCGUGCCUGUAAUCCGUACGGGUUGUGGGAGCAAGAGCCCGGAGAUGGAUUCUGAGACACGAAUCCAGGCCCUACGGGGCGCAGCAGGCGCGAAAACUCUACAAUGCAGGCAACUGCGAUAGGGGGACAUCGAGUGGCAUCCACCUUGGGUGCCUGUCCAACCGUCUAAAAAACGGUUGUUAGCAAGGGCCGGGUAAGACCGGUGCCAGCCGCCGCGGUAAUACCGGCGGCUCGAGUGGUGGCCGAUAUUAUUGAGUCUAAAGGGUCCGUAGCCGGCUUUGCAAGUCCCCUGGGAAAUCCAGCGGCUUAACCGUUGGGCUUUCAUGGGAUACUACAUUGCUUGGGACUGGGAGAGGUAGGAGGUACUCGGGGGGUAGGGGUGAAAUCCUGUAAUCCUCCGGGGACCACCGGUGGCGAAGGCGUCCUACCAGAACAGGUCCGACGGUGAGGGACGAAAGCUAGGGGCACGAACCGGAUUAGAUACCCGGGUAGUCCUAGCCGUAAACGAUGCCCGCUAGGUGUCACGACGGUCGUGAAUCGUCGUGGUGCCGUAGGGAAGCCGCGAAGCGGGCCACUUGGGAAGUACGGCCGCAAGGCUGAAACUUAAAGGAAUUGGCGGGGGAG
RNAcentral lists this ribosomal RNA (788 nucleotides) under uncultured archaeon. RNAcentral's name for it is "bacterial SSU rRNA". It matches the Rfam family "Archaeal small subunit ribosomal RNA", at positions 85 to 876 of the family's 1478-position model. The record is from RNAcentral.